GUAAUGAACUUUCACUUGGCACAAUAUUUGGGCUUAUAUAGAUUAAUAUAUCCGAAAUUUAAAUUUUAAAUUUUCAAUAUAGGUCCGGACAUUCAGAUUUCAUAUCGGAUUCAGUUC
Molecule: small RNA, 117 nt
Filed under: Arabidopsis thaliana (thale cress)
Lineage: Eukaryota; Viridiplantae; Streptophyta; Magnoliopsida; Brassicales; Brassicaceae
Description: ATSL079880
Source: RNAcentral